GACGAACGCUGGCGGCGUGCUUAACACAUGCAAGUCGAACGGAAAGGCCCUGCUUGCAGGGUACUCGAGUGGCGAACGGGUGAGUAACACGUGGGUGUUCUGCCCUGCACUUCGGGAUAAGCCUGGGAAACUGGGUCUAAUACCGGAGAGGAGCCAUUUUGAGUGUGAUGGUUGGAAAGUUUUUUCGGUGUAGGAUGAGCUCGCGGCCUAUCAGCUUGUUGGUGGGGUAAUGGCCUACCAAGGCGGCGACGGGUAGCCGGCCCGAGAGGGUGGACGGCCACAUUGGGACUUAGGUACGGCCCAGACUCCCACGGGAGGCAGCAGUUGGGAAUUUUGCACAAUGGGCGCAAGCCUGAUGCAGCGACGCCGCGUGGGGGAUGACGGCCUUCGGGUUGUAAACUCCUUUCGCUAGGGACGAAGCUUUUUGUGACGGUACCUAGAGAAGAAGCACCGGCUAACUACGUG
RNAcentral lists this ribosomal RNA (465 nucleotides) under uncultured bacterium. Its description in RNAcentral is "partial 16S ribosomal RNA". It matches the Rfam family "Bacterial small subunit ribosomal RNA", at positions 28 to 507 of the family's 1533-position model. The record is from RNAcentral.